RNAcentral lists this long non-coding RNA (800 nucleotides) under Capsicum annuum. RNAcentral's name for it is "long non-coding RNA (CANN_LNC015863)". Lineage: Eukaryota; Viridiplantae; Streptophyta; Magnoliopsida; Solanales; Solanaceae. The record is from RNAcentral.
UUUUCUCAUCAUCAAUACGGGCUAGAGAAGCACAACUUACUAGACGGUGUCACAGAGACAAGGUUAACAUAAGUCUAUUGAACUCGACUGUACCUCCAUUUUGGAACCAAGUCAAGAAAUUAAAAAGAUUCUUUCAUAUUUUGAUAGAGUCUGGAGCUUUCAUAGUUAACAUGUCAGCGAAGUUAGAUCUUCAGCAUAGAUAUAAGAUACUGUUCAGCCGGACAUAGUCACGGCCAGAUUAUGGUAGAAGUUUUGUUUGAAUAACUAUAAUAAAUAAAAAGAUAGGUACCUGAUUUGCCGGGAACCCAACGGAAAUAGUAGCAAACAAGUAACUGCUUCCUUAUUUAUUUCUUGAAUAUAUUACAGAGAGAGAGAGAGAAUUUCUGAAAAUUCAAAGAGAGUUUCUAAACUCUUGCCUUCCUUCAAGGAUGAGGCAUCUAUAUAUACUAAAAAAAAGAAUCUUGCACAGUAAUAGAUGGGUCCCUGUGCACAGUGUUUUUACUAUUACAGAUAAGAUUUUAUCAUAUCAUGUCCAUCAGUCAAAUAUUGUCUUUGCCUUUCCAUUUCUUGAUAAAUUCUUCAGCUUUUACAAGUUCUUCUUCUUCUAAUAGAAUUUCUGGAGGUUGUGCAUCAGUAAUAUCUUCAGUAUUUGUUUCGGUACUAUUCAUUGAUAUAUCUGAAUUUUGCUCAACAGUUUGCAGCAAUUUAUCCCUGACCUCGGAUAAAUAUUCCUCGAUCAUUUGCAUUUUAUUGCCGCCAUGUGCAGAUAGUCUUCGAGAAACAUAGUUAAGACUUUUUUC